RNAcentral lists this ribosomal RNA (405 nucleotides) under uncultured bacterium. RNAcentral describes it as "bacterial SSU rRNA". It matches the Rfam family "Bacterial small subunit ribosomal RNA", at positions 354 to 776 of the family's 1533-position model. The record is from RNAcentral.
GUGGGGAAUAUUGGACAAUGGGCGCAAGCCUGAUCCAGCCAUGCCGCGUGAGUGAAGAAGGCCUUAGGGUUGUAAAGCUCUUUCACCCGCGAAGAUGAUGACGGUAGCGGGAGAAGAAGCCCCGGCUAACUCCGUGCCAGCAGCCGCGGUAAUACGGAGGGGGCGAGCGUUGUUCGGAUUUACUGGGCGUAAAGGGCGCGUAGGCGGCGCGACAUGUCAGGGGUGAAAGGCCCGGGCUCAACCUGGGAAUUGCCUUUGAAACUGUCGUGCUGGAGACCGGGAGAGGAUGGCGGAAUUCCCAGUGUAGAGGUGAAAUUCGUAGAUAUUGGGAAGAACACCGGUGGCGAAGGCGGCCAUCUGGACCGGAUCUGACGCUGAGGCGCGAAAGCGUGGGGAGCAAACAGG